RNAcentral lists this long non-coding RNA (1006 nucleotides) under Olea europaea subsp. europaea. Lineage: Eukaryota; Viridiplantae; Streptophyta; Magnoliopsida; Lamiales; Oleaceae. The record is from RNAcentral.
CCUUUAUUCACUUGUACCAUUUUGCACCAAAAUGGUGCAAGAUUUGGUGUUGGGUUGGAAUGGUAUUUUGGUGAAAAAUGGUAAAAUUUAGUAGAAAAUGAUGGAAUGGUAUAUGGGUUGGAGUUGCUUUAAGAGUAUAAUAUAUAAGUUUGAUAGUAUCUUAGAAAGCAAAGUGCUAAUAGAAAAUUAACAUACAAACAUUAAAUAGUCCAACCAAUGUUUGCGGCAUCGAUAAAAUAAAAGUGAGAUGAAGAUCAAUUAAUUACAGAAUCGCGUCACAUAAUUAAUUUCCGUCGCCUCAUAUGUCACACUUGCUUACCAGUAAAUUAGACCUCGAUCGAGCUGACAUUUUUACCUAUGGAUCGCAUGUUCUUCUCGACUCCUUGGCGAUCAAGGUUCACAUUCUCAGGAUAGACACCAUCCUUAGGGUGCCAAUAUUGCACCUCACCAUUAGGAAACUCUGUAAAAUUGGUAAUUAAUCUUGUACUUGGACCUCAAUCUAGUCCCAAGAGCCAAACACUAUUCUUUCCGAGCCAAUUUCAAUAGGUUAGGUCCCCGCCGCAUAACGGCGGCGCCACCAGUUGGCAUUUCAGAAAUUUGUUCCUUAGGUGCAAUAGUCCACUGGUGCUACCACCAAAAAUUUUGGUGAUGGGGUAUUCAGGUCCAGUUCCGGAGGAGUGAAGUUGAUCGGAGCCUCUUUCUUCACCUCUUUCGUGGCAGGCGCUUCCUCGGUCAUGGCCCUUAUAGGAUUGUGUGCCACGAUGGACUUGAUCGGCCUAGGACUGAUGAAUGAUGCAAGCGACUGAGAGAGGAUUGAUUCCACAGCAUUGCCACCCGAUCGUCGCCAAAGAGGGCUGGGAUAAAGAGGUAGGCUUGAGUUGCCAUGGCCAUGAAAGAAUUUGGUGUUGCUUAGUUGAAUGUGAUGAAAAAAAUUAUCAAUAUUUGUCAACAAAAAGGUUUACAUUUUUUAGUUGGAUUUUUAUUUUUUCACAAGUUCGGACAGUAG